This is a non-coding RNA of Macaca mulatta (Rhesus monkey), 1786 nucleotides long. The record is from RefSeq and is a predicted model, not a curated record. Lineage: Eukaryota; Metazoa; Chordata; Mammalia; Primates; Cercopithecidae.
CUUCUUGUAUAUUGCUUUGGGGACUCUAGCUGGGGAAAAUGGGGCUGAUUUCCCACCUAGAGAGGUUGAUGGCCGGGGGAAAAUGGGGAGGAACUGGGGUUAUGGAGGGCAUGGGUACGGCUGAGGAGGGUGCUGCAGUGGCAACGUGGUCUUCUGUCUGGGGGAGGGGGAAGGGGCAAAGGUGAGAGAUCACCUUCCCUACCCUCCACCUUCCCGCAGGGAGGACGAAGCCAGGUGCCAGGGCUGGGGUCAGGACACCCAUGUGCUGGGGGGGUUGACCCCAAAUCCCAGACCCUGGAAGCUCCAGGCUUGGGAUGUCUCCUGAGCACCUCUCUCAGCCCCUCCUCUCCAGCCUGUCAGCCCAGCCUCCCCAGUCCCCUCCCCUCAACUCUAGGGGUAGCAUAGCCCUGAGGCCACCUUAGCCCAGCCCCUGCAUUGCCAUUUCCCCAGAGGUGGCCCGUCCACCUCUGCUCUGACCUCUCCCCGUCUCUUUGCCCCUCCUUCUUUUCUCACAAGUGCCAUGAGUUUUCAAACAUCUUCGGGUCUCAGCCUGCUGCUGCCAUGAACUUUGUUGGGUUAAGGGGGAGGGGCUCUAGGAAGGAACUGGGGGGAAGGGGACAGGUAGGUGGCUGGAGGGACCCUUUUUGCUGCUAGAAAGCCCCUCCCUUCUCCUGGGGAGCUGGGGCUGGCUUGUCCCCAUCAAUUAGGGGAGAAGGGGUCAGACCAAAGAUGGUGGUUUGUCCCGUGUAAGGGAACAGGUGUGGGGAAGAGGUGGGGUUGGGUUCCAACUCUGGCUUUUUCUAGUAGAAAGGCCUAACCCAUUAUACCAGAAGACUAUGGGUGAAGUCUAGAUGGGGAGGAGAAGUGAGGCCAGGGACAGUCUUGCCAGACGACUCUGAGGAGGGCAGGGGACAGUUCCAUGGACCUUCCUGGACUGCACUAGGCUAGGAGCUCUUGUGUGGAGGGGCGGUCAGAGGUCUGUGAAGAGCGGGCAGGAGUCAUGGGCAGGCAAAGAGCCGGCCCGGCCCGGGCAGCAGCCCAGCUACAGCUUGUGGCCGCCCCCGACACCAGGAGGAGGGCCGGGAGAGUUCCAGGGGGGCUGAGAGACACAGGGAGGCUCACUUCCUCCCUGCCCAGCCUUCCUUGUAUUUCUCCAGACUCGGACAAUCAAAGGGAGAGAGGGUGUAUCAGUCCUGUUUCAGCCGGCAUCGCCCAGUGGCUUCCAGGCCUCAGAGCUGUGUGGCAGGGCCCCCUGCUGGGGCUGGACACCACUGCAGUCCAGUGCAAAGCUGCCCCCAGAGCCCAGGUGUCCCCCCCACCUAACCAGACCUGGUGCCUUGACGCCCCCACCCCAGCUGGGACGGUACAGAGAAGGGUCUUGGUUUCCUCUCCUACUCCCUUCCUUGGGCUCCUGAAAUUUGCUCCUAAAUCUUGUUAAUUCUUUUUCUCUGGAUUUUGGUUUCUUUUGGCUUUCCCUUGCCUUCCCUUUCUCUCUCUGUCUCCAACUCUCUUUCCCCACGUGUUUCUCGCUGUCUCUAUGUUCCUCUUCUCUCAUCCUCAACUUUCUGUCCAUUCGGGCCUCCUCCCCGCCUCCCACGCCCCAGUCCCUCCCUCCUUGGUCUCCUUUUCGAUAUGCCAAACCAAUUUUGGGUCGAGUGCAUUUAACGAGAACAAAACAAAAGGCUCAUAACAACAAGAACGUUUCAGAAAAAAACAAAAAGUUUAAAAAAAAUUGUUGAGUCAAAAAGUCAAACAAUAAAGAAAUUAAGAUUUCUUGGAAUGACAA